Molecule: non-coding RNA, 621 nt
Organism: Pelobates cultripes (western spadefoot toad)
Lineage: Eukaryota; Metazoa; Chordata; Amphibia; Anura; Pelobatidae
Source: the annotation of a GenBank genome assembly
GUAUAACAGAGCUCCACAGCAAUAAUACUCCCAGUAAUGUGUCUGUGUAUAACAGAGCUCCACAGCAAUAAUACUCCCAGUAAUGUGUCUGUGUGUAUAACAGAGCUCCACAGCAAUAAUACUCCCAGUAAUGUGUCUGAGUGUGUAACAGAGCCCCACAGCAAUAAUACUCCCAGUAAUGUGUCUGAGUGUAUAACAGAGCUCCACAGCAAUAAUACUCCCAGUAAUGUGUCUGAGUGUAUAACAGAGCUCCACAGCAAUAAUACUCCCAGUAAUGUGUCUGAGUGUAUAACAGAGCUCCACAGCAAUAAUACUCCCAGUAAUGUGACUGUGUGUAUAACAGAGCUCCACAGCAAUAAUACUCCCAGUAAUGUGUCUGAGUGUAUAACAGAGCUCCACAGCAAUAAUACUCCCAGUAAUGUGUCUGAGUGUAUAACAGAGCUCCACAGCAAUAAUACUCCCAGUAAUGUGUCUGAGUGUAUAACAGAGCUCCACAGCAAUAAUACUCCCAGUAAUGUGUCUGAGUGUAUAACAGAGCUCCACAGCAAUAAUACUCCCAGUAAUGUGUCUGAGUGUAUAACAGAGCCCCACAGCAAUAAUACUCCCAGUAAUGUGUCUGAG